RNAcentral lists this ribosomal RNA (248 nucleotides) under uncultured bacterium. RNAcentral's name for it is "partial 16S ribosomal RNA". It matches the Rfam family "Bacterial small subunit ribosomal RNA", at positions 15 to 254 of the family's 1533-position model. The record is from RNAcentral.
GAUCCUGGCUCAGGAUGAACGCUAGCGACAGGCUUAACACAUGCAAGUCGAGGGGCAUCAUGAGGUAGCAAUACCUUGAUGGCGACCGGCGCACGGGUGAGUAACGCGUAUGCAACCUGCCCGAUACCGGGGUAUAGCCCAUGGAAACGUGGAUUAACACCCCAUAGUACUUUUAUCCUGCCUGGGAUGGGAGUUUAAAUGUUUACAAGGUAUCGGAUGGGCAGUGCGUCCUAUUACGUUAGUUUGGG